This 55-nucleotide transfer RNA is filed under the name Rattus exulans (Polynesian rat). Its description in RNAcentral is "partial tRNA-Thr". The record is from RNAcentral. Lineage: Eukaryota; Metazoa; Chordata; Mammalia; Rodentia; Muridae.
UAAAAAUUACCUUGGUCUUGUAAACCAAAAAUGAAGAGUUAAUCUUCUCAGGACA